Molecule: ribosomal RNA, 253 nt
Filed under: uncultured bacterium
Lineage: Bacteria
Description: partial 16S ribosomal RNA
Rfam family: Bacterial small subunit ribosomal RNA
Source: RNAcentral
UACGUAGGGGGCAAGCGUUGUCCGGAAUCAUUGGGCGUAAAGAGCGUGUAGGCGGCCAGAAAAGUCCGCUGUGAAAACUCGAGGCUCAACUUCGAGCUGUCGGUGGAAACUUUCUGGCUAGAGUCCGGAAGAGGAGAAUGGAAUUCCUGGUGUAGCGGUGAAAUGCGCAGAUAUCAGGAAGAGCACCCGUGGCGAAGGCGGUUCUCUGGGACGGUACUGACGCUGAGACGCGAAAGCGUGGGGAGCGAACAGG